Molecule: unclassified non-coding RNA, 233 nt
Filed under: Hevea brasiliensis (rubber tree)
Lineage: Eukaryota; Viridiplantae; Streptophyta; Magnoliopsida; Malpighiales; Euphorbiaceae
Source: RNAcentral
UGGCAUUGGCGGAUAUUCUGGUGAUGGACGUGGCAAAUAUAAUACUGGAUAUAACUCUCCACGUGAUAAAUAUAAGUCCCCUAGUGAAGAAUAUAAGUCUCCAGGUGACAAAUAUAGAUCCCCAUAUGACAAAUACAAACCUCCUAGUGAUGAGUACAAAUAUCCACGUGACAAGUAUAACUCUCCACAUGACAAAUAUAAGCCUCCUAGAUAUGAAUAUAAACAUGCAGGUG